Long non-coding RNA from Poecilia latipinna (sailfin molly), 302 nucleotides. RefSeq lists it as uncharacterized. The record is from RefSeq and is a predicted model, not a curated record. The transcript has 3 exons. NCBI's taxonomy places the organism in Eukaryota, Metazoa, Chordata, Actinopteri, Cyprinodontiformes, Poeciliidae.
GUCGCAUUGGUGGCAUAGAGAAGGUUGGGCACACAGAAGAAGAACAAACCUUCCUGCUGGAUGCUAAUGGAAGCUGAACGUGACGCAGUUUCUCUAUAUCACAGCGUCACGUUGAGAAGACUAAACUACCAUAUCAUCCUCCGCCCAUCGGUUCCCAGAGGCAUUUAAAUGGAGGCUUCAUGGAUGCAGAUAGAGGAGGAGGAAGUUCAACUGUUUCACCGUUAUCCCAGACUCCGUCUCAUCGUUAUCCCAGACUCUGUUUCACCGUUAUCCCAGACUCCGUCUCAUCGUUAUCCCAGACU